Molecule: ribosomal RNA, 481 nt
Filed under: uncultured bacterium
Lineage: Bacteria
Description: partial 16S ribosomal RNA
Rfam family: Bacterial small subunit ribosomal RNA
Source: RNAcentral
GAUGAACGCUGGCGGCGUGCUUAACACGUGCAAGUCGAACGAAGCACUUUAUUUGAUUUCCUUCGGGACUGAUUAUUUUGUGACUGAGUGGCGGACGGGUGAGUAACGCGUGGGUAACCUGCCUUGUACAGGGGGAUAACAGUUGGAAACGGCUGCUAAUACCGCAUAAGCGCACAGCAUCGCAUGAUGCAGUGUGAAAAACUCCGGUGGUAUAAGAUGGACCCGCGUUGGAUUAGCUAGUUGGUGAGGUAACGGCCCACCAAGGCGACGAUCCAUAGCCGACCUGAGAGGGUGACCGGCCACAUUGGGACUGAGACACGGCCCAAACUCCUACGGGAGGCAGCAGUGGGGAAUAUUGCACAAUGGGCGAAAGCCUGAUGCAGCGACGCCGCGUGAGCGAAGAAGUAUUUCGGUAUGUAAAGCUCUAUCAGCAGGGAAGAUAAUGACGGUACCUGGCUAAGAAGCACCGGCUAAAUACGUG